GUGAGGAAUUUUCCGCAAUGGGCGAAAGCCUGACGGAGCAAUGCCGCGUGAAGGAUGAAGGCCUAUGGGUUGUAAACUUCUUUUCUCAGAAAAGAAUUAUGACGGUAUCUGAGGAAUAAGCAUCGGCUAACUCUGUGCCAGCAGCCGCGGUAAGACAGAGGAUGCAAGCGUUAUCCGGAAUGAUUGGGCGUAAAGCGUCUGUAGGUUGUUUAAAAAGUAUUCUGUCAAAGAUUAGGGCUUAACCCUAGAUAGGCAGAAUAAACUUUUAAGCUAGAGUUUGGUAGAGUCAGAGGGAAUUCCCGGUGGAGCGGUGAAAUGCGUAGAUAUCGGGAGGAACACCAAAGGCGAAGGCACUCUGCUGGGCCAAUACUAACACUGAGAGACGAAAGCGAGGGGAGCAAAUGGGAUUAGAUACCCUGGUAGUCC
This 426-nucleotide ribosomal RNA is filed under the name uncultured bacterium. Its description in RNAcentral is "bacterial SSU rRNA". It matches the Rfam family "Bacterial small subunit ribosomal RNA", at positions 354 to 796 of the family's 1533-position model. The record is from RNAcentral.